UUGGAGGGCAAGUCUGGUGCCAGCAGCCGCGGUAAUUCCAGCUCCAAUAGCAUAUAUUAAAGUUGUUGCAGUUAAAAAGCUCGUAGUUGAAUUUCGGAAUCUGUCCAUCGGUCGGGCUUCACUGUCCGUACUGGUGUGAUGGGUUUCUACCUUCUGAAUAACCGGCAUGUCAUUAAUUUGGUGCGCCGGGGAAGCAGGACUAUUACCUUGAAAAAAUUAGAGUGCUUAAAGCAGGCUAGCGCCUGAAUACAUUAGCAUGGAAUAAUAAAAUAGGACGGCAUGGUUCUAUUUUGUUGGUUUCUAGGAUCACCGUAAUGAUUAAUAGGGAUAGUUGGGGGCAUUAGUAUUCAAUUGUCAGAGGUGAAAUUCUUGGAUUUAUUGAAGACUAACUUCUGCGAAAGCAUUUGCCAAGGAUGUUUUCAUUAAUCAAGAACGAAAGUUAGGGGAUCGAAGACGAUCAGAUAUCGUCGUAGUCUUAACCAUAAACUAUGCCGACUAGGGAUCGGACGAUGUUAAUUUUUUAAUGACUCGUUCGGCGCCUUACGGGAAAC
This 551-nucleotide ribosomal RNA is filed under the name uncultured Glomus. RNAcentral's name for it is "SSU rRNA". It matches the Rfam family "Eukaryotic small subunit ribosomal RNA", at positions 548 to 1098 of the family's 1831-position model. Lineage: Eukaryota; Fungi; Glomeromycota; Glomeromycetes; Glomerales; Glomeraceae. The record is from RNAcentral.